AGCCUUGCACUUCACAUAUAGAUCCAGAAUCAGUUGAUCAUUUCACUCAAAAGAGUUUAUUUGGGGCUAAUCUUGUGGGCUAUGCUCUUUUCAAGGAUUUUGAACUUUAGGCCCCUGAUAAGGAUUGCUGCUUUGGCAAUGUUGAUUGACACUCAUCUCCAGAAUGCUUUGUAGGUCCAGCAAACAAAAAGCAAGUAGUAUUGACAGAGAUUGACAGGCCAUUCUAUAAUUUGUUCAUUUAUAGAACUAGUCCAGAACAUCUUUGAUGUCUGUAAUUAUACCAGGGACAAAGGGGAAAAAAGAUAACUCUUUGGCCCGCAGAGAUCUUGCCUCUCAACGUUGUAAACCUCUCAAUUCAGUAAAUGAGCACUCUAUUUUUCCUUUAAUUUAUUUUUCCCCCCUCUUAUUUUGAGGUCGUAGAAGACCAAGCUGGGGAGGGGGAAACGCUAUUAGUUGGCUCGUUGCUUCUGUAUCAAGAACUAGCUCGAAAUUAUUGCUACUGAAAAUUUUUAUAAGACUAACAUUAAAU
This 529-nucleotide unclassified non-coding RNA is filed under the name Hevea brasiliensis (rubber tree). The record is from RNAcentral. Lineage: Eukaryota; Viridiplantae; Streptophyta; Magnoliopsida; Malpighiales; Euphorbiaceae.